RNAcentral lists this ribosomal RNA (427 nucleotides) under uncultured bacterium. RNAcentral describes it as "partial 16S ribosomal RNA". It matches the Rfam family "Bacterial small subunit ribosomal RNA", at positions 355 to 774 of the family's 1533-position model. The record is from RNAcentral.
UGGGGAAUUUUGGACAAUGGGGGAAACCCUGAUCCAGCCAUCCCGCGUGUGCGAUGAAGGCCUUCGGGUUGUAAAGCACUUUUGGCAGGAAAGAAACGUCAUGGGUUAAUACCCCGUGAAACUGACGGUACCUGCAGAAUAAGCACCGGCUAACUACGUGCCAGCAGCCGCGGUAGUACGUAGGGUGCAAGCGUUAAUCGGAAUUACUGGGCGUAAAGCGUGCGCAGGCGGUUCGGAAAGAAAGAUGUGAAAUCCCAGAGCUUAACUUUGGAACUGCAUUUUUAACUACCGGGCUAGAGUGUGUCAGAGGGAGGUGGAAUUCCGCGUGUAGCAGUGAAAUGCGUAGAUAUGCGGAGGAACACCGAUGGCGAAGGCAGCCUCCUGGGAUAACACUGACGCUCAUGCACGAAAGCGUGGGGAGCAAACA